CGUGCCGCACGCCUGCCCUCUCUGCGCGUGCUGGGGAAGAGCUUCAAGCAUAAGGACGCUAUGACAUCCUACAAGUCUUUUUUGUUUCCCCCCUCACCUCUCACCCUAAGGACAAAACUCUCCAGGCUGAGUGUGGUUUCUCUGGGUAACGUCAUCCUUACUUGUUCAUCUGUCUGAAGCAAUUACUGUGGCUUCCUUAGGGAUUAUUUUUCAGACAAAGUGUUGACAUUUUCCCCCAGUUGGGCGUCAAGUGCGUAUCUGAGGUGGUAAUUUCUGAGCGUAGAAGUCUAAUGAGAGGAAUGCCCUGCGGUUAAUGAGGUGUUGGAAGGCAGCACAGCUAAAUCCAGUAUUGCAUUUUCCAACUUUCCAGUUUAAUUAGAAACCCGGAUCUCCUGUUCAUGCACUCACUCAUUUCUUUGGUUGAGUGACAGCCCAGCAUUUCACGGGGAAAAUUAUCACAAUAUUUAAGCAAGCUGUUGAUGUUGCUUGCUGUCCACAUCGCUCCAUCUUGUUCCAGCUUGAAUCUUUGUGUCUGCCAUUGCAAACAUCGUCUGCAGCAUUUCCCAAGCGCUGGCAGUGCCUGGGGCAGGGCAGGUGGCCGGGCCCUUCUCUUGUCCCUGCUCCUCCUGCGGCUCAUCGGCCUAAAGCCGGGAUUUUGGCAGAUAUUGGGUCAUUGCUGGGUACUGCUAAGCACCGCUUUAAAUGUCUGGCUUCCUGUCUCUUAUCCCCUGACAUUAAGGAAUAGCAAGUUUGUAGGGGCAGUGAGAGGAGAGACCGCAGGGCUCAGCCUGGUGGGGAGCUGUGGCACUGUCCCCAAAGUGGCACUGCUGCAGGACCCACAGUGCCACCAGGAUUCAGAAGGGUGCCUUUCACCUCCCUGCCCAGGUAAUUAAGAACCUGUGCGGGUUUGUGGUGGUGGCACAGCUGGGAAAUUGUUAGUUGUUAGCCUUUGGUGAUGGGGUUGGGUGCACCUGCUAUGAGUUAGGGUGCAUGUGCUGGGAUGUAUAAAAUAAGGGAGCAACAUAGCCCCAGGUAUUUGCCAGUGUAGGGGUGGCCACCUUGCCUUCCUGUGGCACCAGAAUAUUGAUAAAACCCCAAGUUAUGUUACUGUCCCAUUGAAUUUUUUUGGGGGUGGGAGGGAAAGGUGCUUGUGCUGAGUAGAAUUUUACAAGUAUUAUUUUCUUCUUCCUUUUAAUUAAAAUGUUUUCAUUGCUGCAUACAGCAAAAACAUGCAUUUUUGGCUGUUGGGGAUUUUAAGUGAAAGCUGCAAAGUGCUACCUGUAGUCCUUCAAGCUUUCAGUGUGCAGCUGACCUUCCCUGUGGGCAUCUGCGUGGAGGCUUUGCUGCCUGAAUGUGACCCUCCAGGGAGAGCAGGAAUCCCCAGACCGACGAACCAGUUCUUAUCGGCGUGCUUCUUGGAGACGUAGGUGUUGUAAUGGUUCUCCUCGAGCCGCUCCAGGAACAGGCACUCCUCGCCCAGUAGCUGCUGGAAGAGAGCCGCGCGUGGCAGCAGUGAGCCCCUGCCCCGUCUCUGUGCCCUGCCAAGGUGAUGGGAAGCGUGCAGAGCUACGAGAUUUCUGCAGACCUCAAAACCUCUCGGUGCCCGGUCCCACAGGAGCCUCGUGCUUACCGAGCCGUACAAGAGCCCGUUGGUGUCCAUUGCCAGGGAGCCUUGGAGAAGCGUGCAUGUCCCAGAGCUGUGCAGCCCCGAGGGAACGGCCUGUCAGAAGCUGAGCAUUUCAGAGCCGUGUGUGAUUGCUGCACUUCUCCGGGCUGGGACCUGCAGCACAACAUCUCAGCAGAGCCGUGGCACCCGUGGGGAGACAGGAAAACAAAGUGAGGAUCUGCUUUCUAAUUACCUUCCAGCCUCUCCUGCCUCCCCACCCACACCCUUCUGCAAUCUGGUGAUUAACUUAAUUACAGCCCCAGCUCCUGAAGCCGGUCCAGCCGGGGAGCAGGAGCCCUGCCAGGAGGGUCUCGCUCCCCGUGGCCAGGCUGGGCUUGGACCAAGCACAUGGACACAUCCAUGAGCAGCGCUGGCUGCAGAUGCAGCUCCCAUGGCCUCGUGUGCGGGAUUUAAUCACCAAGCUCGCUGCUCGCCAGAUGUGUGGGACCUGUGAUGGAAAGAACACCCUGGGCAGAGCACAAGAGCUCAGUUUCUCCAGUGAAGGAGGGGGUGGGAGAUGCGUAGCAAGGGGGCACCUUUCACCUCUGGGCUUUGCAGCCGGAGGCGAUGCAGCUGCCUGGGGGCUGGGGGCGGUUGCUGCUCCUUCCUGCGCCGUGCUCCCUCCCCAGCAGGGGAUCUGCUCCUGUCCGUGCUUUAAGGUGCUGUUUACAGCAUUUAUUAUAAAUUAUAGAAGGUAAUUAGUGCUGUGUGGAUAUUGAGGGUUUCCCCUUCCCUCUAGCAGAGGGCACGUGCUGCCUUAUCCAGGUCCCCCCACAGGCUGGCACUGGCACCCACCCUCCUGCUCCUUUGCUUUCCUGCAGCGCUGCUCACACCGACCGAGAGGCACCCGCAGGUGGGACCGACUGCUAAACCACACCACGAGUCACCCGGCCUUGAUUUGGGUGCCCGAGGACGAAGGCUCCGUGCUGCUGGGGCUGCUGAUGCCCUGGGGAUGGCGAUGGGGGGAGUGGGUGCCCCUGUGCGCCCUGCUGGGGACCCGCUCCCCCAGCCCCGGCGGGCAGGGAGGUUAAGCUGGGUGACGCUUGCCGGGCUCACAAAUGUCACCACCCGCCCCCGGUGUCCAGGCAGGACGCUGGGCAAAAUGUCAGACCACAGAGCCGGGAGCUGUCUGGGCCCAGGUGUGGCUGCCCCGCGGCCGCUGGCUCCGGCCCCAGGCGCCCACAGGCGGACUGGAUGGACAGACGGACGGACGGCAGCCAGCCACCGCCGCACCUGGCCCCGGGGCAGGCUUCUCGCGGCGUCUGGUUGUGCUCUGGUUGGGGCACUUUUACCCAGCUUUUCCCUGCCUCCCUCUGGGAGUGAGUAGAUGCGGAGAGGAAAAGCGUGGCUGCCUGCAGCUGGGAGCCGGGCUGCUUUGCAGAGCAGCUCUGCCCAGAAAAACCAUCAGCCGACCCCAAAUGACAGAUUCUAGACCCAAAAUUUUACUCUACGCUGUGCUCUUACGCCACGGGGCUGAUGUGGUUCUCCUGCUGGGCUAAGUCCCCGCUGACCCUGUGCUCCCUGCCAACGGCCCCGUUCCAGGCUGGUGCCUUGUCACUGCCCCUCUCCUUCGCCCUGCUAUCAGCUGCGGGCCUGUGCCAAGCUCUCAUCGCUGAGAUGGGUCCAAAACGUCAGGGUGCUGUUGCUAAUAAGGCACAAGGCUUGAAUUAGGAGCAAAAAGCAGCAAUUUGCAUGUGUUGUCAGAUGUAACACUUCCUUCAGCUGGCCCUCUGAAGAAUAGCCAGGCUUAAUCAAGGGUUGGCUCAGGCUUCAAAAACUGGGAUUGGAGUUUGGGUUCGGGCUUUAUACCGUGUCCUUCCCCCUAGACGAGGAGAAUGCUGGAAGUGAGGGUUUCAUCUCCAGGCCAAGUGAAACCUCACAGCCAUACUCGUGGUUAACCAUCAGUAGACAUAUCAUCACUCAGAAGUCAGGCUUCCUCCAGCAGAGUCUCAGUCUCUGUUGUUCCAAGGAAAAUCGCUUGGUUUCUGGGUUCGCUAUGAGCUUAGCAGUGAUUUACUGCCCUGAAAACGCGCAGGGAGUUAAUUAUGCUCAUUCUAAAAUAUUUGUGUAAGGGCUAUAUGCUUGUCGUGUUACGGUCUGAGAAAAACUGCCCAGGAGGAUUCUGUUCUUAAUUCUGCUGCUUGAUAUCGUCCUCGAAAUGCAGUGUCUGGUAGCUACGGGUGCCUGAGUAAACGGCCUGGGCUGUGUUUUGCCACACACACUGUUGCUCAAUAACUUAACAGCACAACAAAAGCUUGAGAUAAGAAUUACAGGGAAAAUCCACUGAUAAAUAAUAAUUUUCUUAUCUGCGUUCCUCAGGGCUGGAGAAAAUGCC
This is a long non-coding RNA of Anas platyrhynchos (mallard), 4001 nucleotides long. RefSeq lists it as uncharacterized. NCBI's taxonomy places the organism in Eukaryota, Metazoa, Chordata, Aves, Anseriformes, Anatidae. The record is from RefSeq and is a predicted model, not a curated record.